This 405-nucleotide long non-coding RNA is filed under the name Ananas comosus (pineapple). Its description in RNAcentral is "long non-coding RNA (ACOM_LNC025806)". Lineage: Eukaryota; Viridiplantae; Streptophyta; Magnoliopsida; Poales; Bromeliaceae. The record is from RNAcentral.
AUUUUAAUAUAUUUAAAUAUUUUAAAUUUUUAAAUAAAAUUACUAUUGGUGCUAUAUUAUCGCGUUUAGUUUAAUGCGAUAAUAUAAUACUGGAUUGCAGUGUUUAUAAUAUUACUAUAUUUUAUUAAAUAUACAGAAUAAAAGAUAAACUUGAAAUACCACCGCCGUGGCUUUGCGCAUUUUACUUUAUAGUUUAAAGUGAAUUAUUUUAGUAAUAUAUGGUUUCAUUUUUUUUCUUUUCGUCGGUACCUUCUAUAUCUCUUCGUUAAAUUAUAUAUAAAAAAAACUUUAAUAAAUACCCCCCAUCUAUGAUUGAUCGAUUAUACACUUUUGUUCCUUGUGAUUUACUAAAUUAUCACUUUAGUACCUUAUGUUUUUAAAUUUAUCAUUGAUUUAACAAAAAAA